AACGAACGCUGGCGGCAUGCCUAAUACAUGCAAGUCGUGCGGACCUUUUAAAAGCAUUCUUUCAAAAGGUUGGCGGCGGACGGGUGAGUAACACGUGGGCAACCUUCCUCUAAGACUGGGGUAACGCCGGGGAACCAUGUCUACUACCAGAUCGUUUUUCCCUCCGCAUGGAGGAAAAAGUAAAGGCGCCUUCGGCUACCACUUAAAGCUAGGCCGGCGGCGCAUUAUCUCGGUGGCGGGGGAACGGCCCACCAAGGCAAGGAUGGGUAGCCGACCUGAGAGGGUGAGCGCCCAAGCUGGGAUGGGGACACGGCCCACAAUCCUGCGGGAGGCAGCAGUAGGGAAUUUUCCGGGAUGGAAGAAAUGCGGAAGGAGCGACGCCGCGUGAGUGAAGGAGGCCUUCGGGUCGUAAAAGUCUGUUGGCGGGGAAGAACAAGUGCCGUUCGAACAGGGCGGGGCCUUGACGGUACCCGGAGAGAAAGCCACGGCUAACUCCGUG
Molecule: ribosomal RNA, 499 nt
Filed under: uncultured bacterium
Lineage: Bacteria
Description: partial 16S ribosomal RNA
Rfam family: Bacterial small subunit ribosomal RNA
Source: RNAcentral